This 451-nucleotide ribosomal RNA is filed under the name uncultured organism. RNAcentral describes it as "partial 16S ribosomal RNA". It matches the Rfam family "Bacterial small subunit ribosomal RNA", at positions 332 to 799 of the family's 1533-position model. The record is from RNAcentral.
UACACUCCUACGGGAGGCAGCAGUGGGGAAUAUUGGACAAUGGGCGCAAGCCUGAUCCAGCCAUGCCGCGUGAGUGAUGAAGGCCCUAGGGUUGUAAAGCUCUUUCACCGGUGAAGAUAAUGACGGUAACCGGAGAAGAAGCCCCGGCUAACUUCGUGCCAGCAGCCGCGGUAAUACGAAGGGGGCUAGCGUUGUUCGGAUUUACUGGGCGUAAAGCGCACGUAGGCGGACUAUUAAGUCAGGGGUGAAAUCCCGGGGCUCAACCCCGGAACUGCCUUUGAUACUGGUAGUCUUGAGUUCGAGAGAGGUGAGUGGAAUUCCGAGUGUAGAGGUGAAAUUCGUAGAUAUUCGGAGGAACACCAGUGGCGAAGGCGGCUCACUGGCUCGAUACUGACGCUGAGGUGCGAAAGCGUGGGGAGCAAACAGGAUUAGAUACCCCGGUAGUCCCAUG